UGAUUUCUUGUUAAUUUAUGCAGUAGUUUGCAAGUGUUGUUCUUCAUUUGUGGUUCAUUCUAUUUUUUCCUAGGCUUUGAUGCUAAGAACAGUCCUCCUAUUCAUUUCAUUAUUUCUACUUGAUAAAGAUAAACUCAUGACAAAUAGAAUAUUUAGUGAUACCAUAUUAAAGUUAAACAUAAUCCUAAUUUUGUUUUUGUAUAUUGUGAGGGUAGAAGAUAUAAAGAUGUGGCAGGAUUGACACGUUCGUUUAGUUUCAAUAGCAUGUACCAAAAUGCAAUUUUACAUAUAUAUAUAUAUGGGAAAAAUUACAAAAGUCUCUCUCUAUGUCUAAAUUGGUGAGAUGGUGGGGCCUUGGGGGUUCUAUGGAGAUAGAUAAGUUGGUGGCAGGGGUGAAAGAAAAAUAUUAGAUGCAGAUGCAAGUUGUCUUACAGGUCUCUUGAAGUUUUGAUAACUCUCCUUGAAGCCUAAGUUGACAGAAUUUACUUUAAAAUUCAGACAAGUGUUGAAUAUAUUGGUUUUCUUGGCUCCAAUGACAUAAUUUGCAUCAUUAACUAUGAAUAGAAUAACUAGGGAAGAGGAAUUGCUGCUUUUUCUUUUUCUUUUUUUUUGGAUAACUACUUAAAUUUAUGAUAACUGAAAUUCAAGAAACAAAUAAUCAUCCAAAGUGAGACUGACAGACUCUGGUAAGUUUUAUCUAUUAAGUUAUAUAGAAACUCGCAGCCUGCCCAAAAAAAGAGGGACUAAUUAUUUCAAAAUGUGAUAAGUUUCGAACUUUUAUGAAUAUUAAAGUUCAUAAUUGCUGCUAAACUUCACUUAGGACUUCGAUAUGCUGUCCCCAUUUAAGAAUUUGAUAGGUAACGUCAAUUGUCAUUCUGUGUAAUAACUCAGUUACAUUGAAAUUUAUUAUCCUUCUACUUUGGAUGGAGGUAGCGUGCUUUCCAUUUGAAGAAUCAUUAUGUAGAAACUUAAUGUCCUUCUAGUGUCUACUAUAGGAGAGCCUGUGGAAUUCUGAAAUAAUAUGGUUAUCUUUUUUGGGGAGUUGUGGGAAUCAUACAGGAAAGGUUUAGGAUGCAGCUAUUACGGCUUAGGAAAUUGGUUGGAGGAGAAAGAGUUUAAUUUCACUAUAAAUCAGAGAUCAUAAACGGCUGCUCAGUAUUCACCUAGAUUUUAGGCAAAGAUGAAGAGAGUAGAAGAAAAGACAUAAAUAGAGAAAAUCACACUACACUAAGAGGAGAUGGGGAUGCUGUAGAACUACACCCUAGAAAGCAAAUAAACUUUCCAAUUUGUUCAAUAAAGCAUAUCCUAAGAUGCAAUGCUACCUUCUGUUGUGGGAAGAGACUACUUCACAUUGAAGCAUUUCACAAGUUCGCUGCGACCUACAUGCUUCAUCAGCAAUAUUUGUACAAAUUGAGGCUAAUUCACUAAAAUGAAAACUGCUAUUAAUUGGGGAGCAAAUUUCAAAGAUGAAAAGUAAUUAGCAGUUGAGCAUUUGUUAGUUCAUGAUACUUUAUUUCUUUAUUUUUUUGAAGCAUCUCUAGUUGAUUUGCUGAUUGUGCUUGAAAUGUAAUAUUCUCUUUAGGCUGAUCAGUCAGGGACCAU
Molecule: unclassified non-coding RNA, 1602 nt
Filed under: Hevea brasiliensis (rubber tree)
Lineage: Eukaryota; Viridiplantae; Streptophyta; Magnoliopsida; Malpighiales; Euphorbiaceae
Source: RNAcentral